Molecule: ribosomal RNA, 253 nt
Filed under: uncultured bacterium
Lineage: Bacteria
Description: partial 16S ribosomal RNA
Rfam family: Bacterial small subunit ribosomal RNA
Source: RNAcentral
UACGUAGGGCGCAAGCGUUGUCCGGAUUUAUUGGGCGUAAAGAGCUCGUAGGCGGUUUGUCGCGUCGGCUGUGAAAACCCGGGGCUCAACGCUGGGCCUGCAUUCGAUACGGGCAGACUAGAGUAUGGCAGGGGAGACUGGAAUUCCUGGUGUAGCGGUGAAAUGCGCAGAUAUCAGGAGGAACACCGGUGGCGAAGGCGGGUCUCUGGGCCGAUACUGACACUGAGGAGCGAAAGCGUGGGGAGCGAACAGG